CAAGUCGAACGGUAACAUGAAUAGCAAUAUUUGAUGACGAGUGGCGCACGGGUGCGUAACGCGUAUGCAAUCUACCUUCAACUGGUGAAUAGCCCGAAGAAAUUCGGAUUAACACACCAUAGUAUUAUUGAGUGGCAUCACUUAAUAAUUAAAACUCCGGUGGUUGAAGAUGAGCAUGCGUGACAUUAGCUAGUUGGUGAGGUAAUGGCUCACCAAGGCUACGAUGUCUAGGGGAUCUGAGAGGAUUAACCCCCACACUGGUACUGAGACACGGACCAGACUCCUACGGGAGGCAGCAGUAAGGAAUAUUGGACAAUGGUCGCAAGACUGAUCCAGCCAUGCCGCGUGAAGGAUGACGGCCCUAUGGGUUGUAAACUUCUUUUAUACGGGAAAAAACCCCUCUACGUGUAGAGGGCUGAUUGUACUGUAAGAAUAAGGAUCGGCUAACUCCGUGCCAGCAGCCGCGGUAAUACGGAGGAUCCAAGCGUUAUCCGGAUUCAUUGGGUUUAAAGGGUGCGUAGGCGGAAUGAUAAGUCAGUGGUGAAAGCCUGCAGCUUAACUGCAGAACUGCCAUUGAUACUGUCAAUCUUGAGUAUAUUUGAUGUGGGCGGAAUGUGUCAUGUAGCGGUGAAAUGCUUAGAUAUGACACAGAACACCGAUUGCGAAGGCAGCUCACAAAACUAUAACUGACGCUGAGGCACGAAAGCGUGGGUAUCAAACAGGAUUAGAUACCCUGGUAGUCCACGCUGUAAACUAUGAUUACUCGAUGUUUGCGAUACACUGUAAGCGUCUAAGCGAAAGCGAUAAGUAAUCC
RNAcentral lists this ribosomal RNA (814 nucleotides) under uncultured Bacteroidota bacterium. RNAcentral's name for it is "bacterial SSU rRNA". It matches the Rfam family "Bacterial small subunit ribosomal RNA", at positions 58 to 870 of the family's 1533-position model. The record is from RNAcentral. Lineage: Bacteria; Pseudomonadati; Bacteroidota.